This 1380-nucleotide long non-coding RNA is filed under the name Pogona vitticeps (central bearded dragon). RNAcentral describes it as "lncRNA (ENSPVIG00000014471.1)". The record is from RNAcentral. Lineage: Eukaryota; Metazoa; Chordata; Lepidosauria; Squamata; Agamidae.
ACCCAGAGUACAACUAGAGGUUAAAAUAAUCUGAAAGUGUUAUAAUAAGUAUGUUCAGUGUUGCGGGCACUAACAGAUGUUUAUAGCUCAAACUGGCUAAUGUCUGUCAUAUUCACCCCCAAUUCCUAUGUCACCAGACAGCUAAUUCUAAUUGGCUACAUAGUGAUUUCAGAAUUAUCAGGAGGAGAGGACUGAUCUGAUCAAAGCAGUGGCAACAAGCCAGCAGUUCAAAGAUAUUAUUUUAUUUUAUUUUUUGGUGGGGGAGCACCACCAUGAGAGGUUGACAUUGCCUCUACUGUUAUCUCAAGACAUCUUGAGAGUGCAAACACUUAAUAAAGCUUCUACUCCCAAACAACUGUCAGAUGGGACCAAAUUUCAUAAGGUGAAAGGACAUGUCAAACAUGUCCAUUUGGAUCAGUUUUCAGGGAUAUAUUAGACGGGACUGGUAUGAUAUCCUUAUACCUACCGAUCCAUGUACAUAACACAUGAAUGUGUGAGCCAUUUUGCCUUGGUGCUGUCUGUCCAUUCUGCUGGUGGUUAUUAACCACAUGGGGAGUAUUUGACCAAGUAUGUAGCUCUUUCCCAUCCAAUCAACACCCAAGUUUCAUGCCUGUGACCUUCUUUCACUGUAUGCAUCAUCAAGUUAAAUUAUAUGAUAGUCUGUGUUUUAUUUUAAAUGGUUAACAAUAAGAAUCUGUAUAUCUGUCAGUCUCUCUCACUCUCUUUCUCAGUCUCUCUUUGUUUGUAUUUCUCAGAACUCCACCAAGAUUUUUAUCCUAUUCCAAUUCAAUACUAGGUUUUGGAUUUUUCCCUAUUUCAGCAUAGACAUAUGUGCACAUAUGUGUUUUUAUGUGGACUUUUACUAAUGUUCUUAUAUUUAUGUAUUUUCUCCAUCCACUAAUACAUCUGCAUGCAUUUUAAAAUACACACAUUUUAGUAAUAUACUUUUAAAUAUGUGCAUGAAUUUCUCUGCCAAAAUGCAUUGCAAAUCUGAGACAAGAUGUCUCAUGUUUGAGGCAAGAUGUGUUUCAUCCUAUUGAUGCUUGUGGUUUAUAUGAAAUGGAUAUCUGCUUAGGGAAAUACCAACCCAAGUAAAUUCUUUUCAGUACCAUUGACCAAGCAUUAUCAUUGUUAAUUGCUUCUGGACACCUGAAUGUGCUUUUUGAGUGUUCUUAAUUAAUAAUCUGUGUUUCGAAGCAGUUCUGAACUUCUCCUGGGUUGAUAUAAAUUCAGUUUUAAUAUUCUUAUGGGAGGAAUGAACUCUUUGUAGUACCUAAUGUGCAAAUCAAACAGCAAAGAUCUCACUUGAUAUGUGAUGUUUUUAAAACAAUAUAGCAGCACUGCAAUAAAAAAGACAUAGAACUGCUACUGUAUUUAGAA